This 70-nucleotide transfer RNA is filed under the name Ictidomys tridecemlineatus (thirteen-lined ground squirrel). Its description in RNAcentral is "Spermophilus tridecemlineatus (thirteen-lined ground squirrel) tRNA". It matches the Rfam family "tRNA". From Rfam's summary of the family: Transfer RNA (tRNA) molecules are approximately 80 nucleotides in length. The record is from Rfam by way of RNAcentral. Lineage: Eukaryota; Metazoa; Chordata; Mammalia; Rodentia; Sciuridae.
GGGGAUAUAACUCAGUUGGUAGAGUGCUUGCCUUGCAUGCACAAGGCCCUGGGUUCGAUCCCCAGCACCA